CGGCUGGCUUAUCAAAUGCAAGUCGAGCGGAUGUAGAGAGCUUGCUCUCUUAUUUUAGCGGCGGACGGGUGAGUAAUGCCUAGGAAUCUGCCUGGUAGUGGGGGAUAACGUUCCGAAAGGAACGCUAAUACCGCGUACGUCCUACGGGAGAAAGCAGGGGACCUUCGGGCCUUGCGCUAUCAGAUGAGCCUAGGUCGGAUUAGCUAGUUGGUGAGGUAAUGGCUCACCAAGGCGACGAUCCGUAACUGGUCUGAGAGGAUGAUCAGUCACACUGGAACUGAGACACGGUCCAGACUCCUCCGGGAGGCAGCAGUGGGGAAUAUUGGACAAUGGGCGAAAGCCUGAUCCAGCCAUGCCGCGUGUGUGAAGAAGGUCUUCGGAUUGUAAAGCACUUUAAGUUGGGAGGAAGGGCAGUAAGUUAAUACCUUGCUGUUUUGACGUUACCGACAGAAUAAGCACCGGCUAACUUCGUGCCAGCAGCCGCGGUAAUACGAAGGGUGCAAGCGUUAAUCGGAAUUACUGGGCGUAAAGCGCGCGUAGGUGGUUCGUUAAGUUGGAUGUGAAAGCCCCGGGCUCAACCUGGGAACUGCAUCCAAAACUGGCGAGCUAGAGUACGGUAGAGGGUGGUGGAAUUUCCUGUGUAGCGGUGAAAUGCGUAGAUAUAGGAAGGAACACCAGUGGCGAAGGCGACCACCUGGACUGAUACUGACACUGAGGUGGGAAAGGGUGGGGAGCAAACAGGAUUAGAUACCCUGGUAGUCCACGCCGUAAACGAUGUCAACUAGCCGUUGGAGUCCUUGAGAUUUUAGUGGCGCAGCUAACGCAUUAAGUUGACCGCCUGGGGAGUACGGCCGCAAGGUUAAAACUCAAAUGAAUUGACGGGGGCCCGCACAAGCGGUGGAGCAUGUGGUUUAAUUCGAAGCAACGCGAAGAACCUUACCUGGCCUUGACAUGCUGAGAACUUUCCAGAGAUGGAUUGGUGCCUUCGGGAACUCAGACACAGGUGCUGCAUGGCUGUCGUCAGCUCGUGUCGUGAGAUGUUGGGUUAAGUCCCGUAACGAGCGCAACCCUUGUCCUUAGUUACCAGCACCUCGGGUGGGCACUCUAAGGAGACUGCCGGUGACAAACCGGAGGAAGGUGGGGAUGACGUCAAGUCAUCAUGGCCCUUACGGCCAGGGCUACACACGUGCUACAAUGGUCGGUACAAAGGGUUGCCAAGCCGCGAGGUGGAGCUAAUCCCAUAAAACCGAUCGUAGUCCGGAUCGCAGUCUGCAACUCGACUGCGUGAAGUCGGAAUCGCUAGUAAUCGUGAAUCAGAAUGUCACGGUGAAUACGUUCCCGGGCCUUGUACACACCGCCCGUCACACCAUGGGAGUGGGUUGCUCCAGAAGUAGCUAGUCUAACCUUCGGGGGGACGGUUACCACGGAGUGAUUCAUGACUGGGG
RNAcentral lists this ribosomal RNA (1445 nucleotides) under Ectopseudomonas mendocina. Its description in RNAcentral is "Pseudomonas mendocina 16S ribosomal RNA". It matches the Rfam family "Bacterial small subunit ribosomal RNA". Lineage: Bacteria; Pseudomonadati; Pseudomonadota; Gammaproteobacteria; Pseudomonadales; Pseudomonadaceae. The record is from RNAcentral.